CAUUGAUUUAAAAAGUAUUUGUUGUGGUGAUUUUACAUUCAAAGCUUAUUCUUUUAGAGUCAUCGUCAGUCACUUAUUGCGCCGCAAAUGAAAUUAUAAACUAAAUAUUAUAUUCUAUACGCCUGAGACUCCUUGCAAUCGCGGCCAUAAACCAAGGUCAUACUCUAAGGUUGGGCCGUAGGUACGCAUUAUUUAUCGAUUGUUUUCGACACAGUUGUUGAUUGAGAUUUUUGAGGAGCCGGUCUCUAUGAAGCCUUACUUAAACACAAAAAUAAUUCUUUGCUUUUUCAAUACAAUUAGGUACUAGUAAUUAGAGUUAUCUAUAGGCGCAUCACUAACAUCUCCCGGAAGGCUGGUAAGAGCACAAUAUCUGAAUCAACGUCUUUCCCUCGUUUUAUGGCCGCGACUGCCACGAGUCUUAUCAUAGUGGUGUCAUGAAUAUGUUUAUUUGAAAGAAAGAAAGAAAGAAAAUUAAUUUAUUCAUCUUGUGCUUAAGUAAAUUAUUCGUGUUGUUUAUAAGUACUUAAUACUUAAUAAUAACUUCUUGCACCCACAUGGCACAAGAUGAAAAGGCCCCGGCUCAGCAGGUUUUAAAAUAUAACCUGAGCGCUGGUAUUCUGCCGGGACCAAGAGGAGUGACGCGCAGGAGUUCAAUAGUUAACAGUUAAAAUAAAAUAAAUAGUUAAUGUACAUAGUGAUAACAGUGUGUAAAUAGAAAUCUUGAAAACUUGGAGAGAGGAAGCUGUUCAUAAUAAUAUGAACUUAGCAACGUAGUUACAAACGGAAACUUUGCUACAAUUUUUUUUUGGUACAAUUUUUGAUACUGCUCCUAAAGAAAAUGAUGGCAUUGCUAGAAAUUUUGCCCCAAAAGAGGACACAAAUUACAAAGGACUAUCAGAGACAAAUUACAGGGGAUAUCCUGCAAUAAAUGACGUAAAUCUAUACGACGAAUAUGAGCCAGAAUGAAUUGCUGCAACUCUGAAAGUGAAUCCAAAAACUUUACGAGCUAUUUAUUAUACCAACGUUCGAAGAGGCAAGGCGCGAACUCUUUACUGGUUCUUGCUUGCCUGGACAAUAUCGAACUGAAGAUGGUAGAUGUGUAGAAAAGUUUUGAACAUUACUUUGUAAAUCUAAAUGUUUUUUUU
Long non-coding RNA from Maniola jurtina (meadow brown), 1145 nucleotides. RefSeq lists it as uncharacterized. The record is from RefSeq and is a predicted model, not a curated record. The transcript is spliced from 2 exons. NCBI's taxonomy places the organism in Eukaryota, Metazoa, Arthropoda, Insecta, Lepidoptera, Nymphalidae.